UGGCAUUUUUGGGCCAUUUAUGCUACCAUGGCACCAUCUUGGAGUCAAAUGAGCCAUAAUUGCUCCAAAAUGGUGCCUUGGAACCAUUUCUGGCUCAUUUGGCUUCAAAAUGGUGCCUUGGUGGCAAUUCUGGGCCAUUUGGCUUAUUUAUGUGACCAUUGCAUCAUUUUUGAGCCAAAUGGCUAAUUUCCGCUUCAAAUACUACAAUUGUCACUUCAAUGCCUUUAUUUAUAUCUAAUUAUGCUAUUCCAACUCUAUUUCAUAGGUUUCUACUGGUGCGAUGGGUGGUGGAUGUUGAAGGUGCCCGAGUCACCUUCUUUUCAUGUAUGAACACUUGUAAUAUGUUGCUACCAUGUGAUGAACACUUGUAAUACUUUUGUUGUGAGAUAUGUGAUGUUUUCGGACUUUCAUGAGAUGUUUAUAUGCUUGUGAUGUGAAUGCUAUAUGUGUAUGCGUCUAUAUGCUUGUGAUGUGUAUUGUUGUGAUGUGUCUGAAUAUAUAUCUAUAUAUAUGUGCUGUCAAAAUAUUUCUAAUUGCUGCGAUAAAAAAAUUAAAAAAAAACUUUGCCGACGGCCACAGUCCUGGCCGCCGGCAAAGGCUGAGCGCGGGCAUGCACCAGAUCGUGCCGCGUGUCCACCCUUUGCCGGCGGCAUUUUCGCCGGACGCUGGCAAAGACCGACAGGUGGGCCACGACCUGGCACGCGUGGCCGCCUCACGGCAUGCCCCGUGCCGUCCCUUUGCCCGCGGCUUUUUACCUGGC
This 760-nucleotide long non-coding RNA is filed under the name Brachypodium distachyon (stiff brome). RNAcentral's name for it is "long non-coding RNA (BDIS_LNC005551)". Lineage: Eukaryota; Viridiplantae; Streptophyta; Magnoliopsida; Poales; Poaceae. The record is from RNAcentral.